This 623-nucleotide ribosomal RNA is filed under the name Staphylococcus aureus. Its description in RNAcentral is "partial 23S ribosomal RNA". It matches the Rfam family "Bacterial large subunit ribosomal RNA", at positions 2302 to 2925 of the family's 2925-position model. The record is from RNAcentral. Lineage: Bacteria; Bacillati; Bacillota; Bacilli; Caryophanales; Staphylococcaceae.
GGAGGCGCUCAAAGGUUCCCUCAGAAUGGUUGGAAAUCAUUCAUAGAGUGUAAAGGCAUAAGGGAGCUUGACUGCGAGACCUACAAGUCGAGCAGGGUCGAAAGACGGACUUAGUGAUCCGGUGGUUCCGCAUGGAAGGGCCAUCGCUCAACGGAUAAAAGCUACCCCGGGGAUAACAGGCUUAUCUCCCCCAAGAGUUCACAUCGACGGGGAGGUUUGGCACCUCGAUGUCGGCUCAUCGCAUCCUGGGGCUGUAGUCGGUCCCAAGGGUUGGGCUGUUCGCCCAUUAAAGCGGUACGCGAGCUGGGUUCAGAACGUCGUGAGACAGUUCGGUCCCUAUCCGUCGUGGGCGUAGGAAAUUUGAGAGGAGCUGUCCUUAGUACGAGAGGACCGGGAUGGACAUACCUCUGGUGUACCAGUUGUCGUGCCAACGGCAUAGCUGGGUAGCUAUGUGUGGACGGGAUAAGUGCUGAAAGCAUCUAAGCAUGAAGCCCCCCUCAAGAUGAGAUUUCCCAACUUCGGUUAUAAGAUCCCUCAAAGAUGAUGAGGUUAAUAGGUUCGAGGUGGAAGCAUGGUGACAUGUGGAGCUGACGAAUACUAAUCGAUCGAAGACUUAAUCAAAA